This 498-nucleotide ribosomal RNA is filed under the name uncultured bacterium. RNAcentral's name for it is "partial 16S ribosomal RNA". It matches the Rfam family "Bacterial small subunit ribosomal RNA", at positions 28 to 507 of the family's 1533-position model. The record is from RNAcentral.
GACGAACGCUGGCGGCGUGCCUAAUACAUGCAAGUCGAACGAGAGCAACCGGUGCUUGCACUGGUCAAUCUAGUGGCGAACGGGUGAGUAACACGUGGGUAACCUGCCCAUCAGAGGGGGAUAACAUCCGGAAACGGAUGCUAAAACCGCAUAGGUCUUCGAACCGCAUGGUUUGAAGAGGAAAAGAGGCGCAAGCUUCUGCUGAUGGAUGGACCCGCGGUGCAUUAGAUAGUUGGUGAGGUAACGGCUCACCAAGGCCGUGAUGCAUAGCCGACCUGAGAGGGUGAUCGGCCACAUUGGGACUGAGACACGGCCCAAACUCCUACGGGAGGCAGCAGUAGGGAAUCUUCCGCAAUGGACGCAAGUCUGACGGAGCAACGCCGCGUGAGUGAAGAAGGUUUUCGGAUCGUAAAACUCUGUUGUUAGAGAAGAACAAGUGCUAGAGUAACUGUUAGCGCCUUGACGGUAGCUAACCAGAAAGCCACGGCUAACUACGUG